UUAGUACUCCCUCCGUCCAAAAAUACUUGUCCUAGAAAUGGUUGUAUCUAGACUUAUUUAUCCAUUUAUAGGACAAGUAUUUCCGGACGGAGGGAGUAAUAU
Molecule: non-coding RNA, 102 nt
Organism: Triticum aestivum (bread wheat)
Lineage: Eukaryota; Viridiplantae; Streptophyta; Magnoliopsida; Poales; Poaceae
Source: Rfam